AUUGAACGCUGGCGGCAUGCCUAACACAUGCAAGUCGAACGGUAACAGGUCCCGUAGCAAUACGGGAUGCUGACGAGUGGCGGACGGGUGAGUAAUGCGUAGGAAUUUACCUCAAAGCGGGGGAUAGCCAGGAGAAAUCCGGAUUAAUACCGCAUGUGCUCUACGGAGGAAAGCGGGCCUCUACUUGUAAGCUCGCACUUUGAGAUAAGCCUACGUCGGAUUAGCUAGUUGGUAGGGUAAAGGCCUACCAAGGCGACGAUCCGUAGCUGGUUUGAGAGGAUGAUCAGCCACACUGGGACUGAGACACGGCCCAGACUCCUACGGGAGGCAGCAGUGGGGAAUAUUGGACAAUGGGCGAAAGCCUGAUCCAGCAAUGCCGCGUGUGUGAAGAAGGCCUGCGGGUUGUAAAGCACUUUUAUCAGGAAAGAAAAUCUCGGGGCUAAUAUCCCCGGGCCUUGACGGUACCUGAUGAAUAAGCACCGGCUAACUCCGUGCCAGCCGCCGCAGUAA
This 510-nucleotide ribosomal RNA is filed under the name uncultured bacterium. RNAcentral's name for it is "partial 16S ribosomal RNA". It matches the Rfam family "Bacterial small subunit ribosomal RNA", at positions 30 to 523 of the family's 1533-position model. The record is from RNAcentral.